GGGGCUCUCUUGUUGUGUUUCCUAGUGUCAGAUGAAGGCUUGUUUAUAUGAAACCGGCGCUGGGAACCCGGACUGUUGGGAUUGAAAACCCCAAGGUCUGAGGGGAGCCUGAGAAUUGCCAGUCCCUACAGACUAGCCGAGGCUCUGCGCCAGGGGCUCGUUAGCUCUGAGCGUCUGUCGUUGAGGCUUCGGCGGUCUCUCCGCCCACCUGCUUAAUGCUGGCCUCUGUCCCCACCGUACUCCUGCACUCCUGCACAAUGUUUGGACCCAACAACAACUAUUGACCUUAUGUCUGGUGACUGGCUUGAAAAGAUGUGCUGGAACCCAACUGGAUGCCCUUCUCAGAAGGUGGACCUAAGAGGCACAUACGGAAAGGAGGAGUUGAUGGUGGGAGCUGAGGAUGGAGACUCAUAUUGACUAAGCAGUAUGUGGCAGCUGUGUUGGAACCACGAGGGGAAAAAAGAGGAAGUGAGUCCAAAGAGGUGAAUGGGCAGAUGCAUAGGCAGAAACUGUCUACAACUUGCUGUCUCUUGUGAGGAAGAGCUCUUCAAAUUCUUCUGGAUUCGUGGAAGAUCCUUUAACCGUGACACAAAAGAGAAGAAAAUAUAGCUGCAUGAUGGUAGUACACAGUUUUCAGGCCUUUGGAGGAGACUUUAACCAUGGGACUCCUGGACCAUCUUCAAAGCCAAGUUUCUAGAAAGCAUCGUACAUCAUACUCUGUGUUUUACUGUCUCAUCGCCUACUCCUUCUCCAUUCUGCAGUCCAGUAUCUGUGGUUGCCAUCUACCCCUUGAAGCAGCUCUCCCCUCGGACCUCACCAGCUUCCUGCUACUCCAUCCAGUGGACUCGAGCCGUCCUCAUCAUUCUUGGCUUCCCACUGCCACUUGACAUUUGGGGCCUCUUCCUCCUUUAAACCCUUCCUUUCUCCAGUGUCUGCAGCACCACAGCCCUGGGCAGCUCUGACACGGGGUGUGGGUGUGGGCGGGUGCAAGGGAGAGGUGCAUGAUGAGACAGCUUCGUCUCCAUCUUCCGUAGGAGGAGGUCGGAAAUCAUAUGAUGGCCCAAAUUGAAAAACCAAUCAAAAAUCAUAUAAGCAUAUUAUUGAGAAUUAUGGAAGUAAAUGCCCCAAAAGACUAACUUAAAAGUUUGAACUUUGCAGGGCUGGAUUAGGAGACCGUUGCCGUUUAAACCAAUGCUUACUGUACAACUGACAAAACCAAAAUUAAGUGAGGAAAAUAAGUAAAACAGAUCAAACCAGAGCUGCUCUGCUUGGGCUAGGAGGUUGACCCCGGCCCCCGCCUAUGCCUGGGACUCUCACAGCAUAACUGGAAACGAGGCAAACCAUGGUUUCAAGAAAUUCCCAGGAAACGAGAGAUAACUGCCAAAAAAAGCCUUCCAUGAGAAACAGCUGCUUGGACUACAAUUAGUGUCUGUGGUUCAGGAUGGGAGACUUUUGCUGCAUUUAAUUUCUAUGAAGCUAAUGCAGACAUCUCUCUUUUGCGGUGUAUUUUGCAUUCAGAACCUAGAAGACGCUGGAGUCUCUCCUCCAGGCUGGAGUGCCUGAAACCCAUGAAUUGUCAUGGCCCCCAUGUUAGAGAAGCUGUGUUUUUUUAAGGUGUUUUCUCCUUUCUGAAGAUGUGCCUUCCUGGUCCUGCAUCUCGGCCCUGCAUUCACAGGGAUGUGAGGGGGGAGGGCUUGAUGAAGCGCACAGGAAAAAGCUGUUCCCAGACAAUAUGGAGAUUUUUUUCUGACAAUAUGUAGAAUUUUUCAGACACAAUCUUGGCCAGUUUAAAUCAAGGAAAUUGCAUAUUUUGGUUAGGUGCCUCCCAGGCCAGGUUUUCACACAGAUUUCCAGCAAUGUCGAUGCAUGUAUAUAAUUAUAGUAUCUUUCAAUGAGGAAGAGGCUGCAGGAAGGUGCUAAUGCAACAUGCUGCAGUUAGAAACCCUUUCAGCCGGAAAUCAUGUAGACGACGGACAUAUUUUUACCAUCUUAUUUCAGCCACAUGCAAAAUAUGUCUUUUUUAAGCCUUAGGAAUUUAUAUAUUUAUAAAAUCUGCGAAAGGGAGCAUUACAUGGGGGUUCUGCCCCAGGGGUUUCCAGGCGCACCUCUUUCUGUGGGGUUUGUAACAGGGAAGAAUUUUUUGGAGGUGUGUCCCCACGGUUUGUCCUUUAUCUGAGAACUCUCACACCCACUGCUGUUCCCAGGAGCGAGCCUGGCCCCACUUUCCCCCCACACAGGAGCCCUCGCAGAGCCACAGGACAGAGAGCUGGCCAACCCAUAGGAAGCACUCCAGAGGCUGAGCCAAUUGUUGUGUCCACCCUGGGGGUUUGGAAUUGAACACCUAGAGACAGGGUUAGUUAGUAUAGGUACCAAAUGUGUUAGGGUCAUCAAAAGACCAACCAUGUUUUGGCUGGUCUGCAGAGAGGGGGAGAGAGGCAAAAGCAGAUAUGCUGGAGAAGCAGAGAUGAGCACUCUCAUGUGUUGAGGGAGACCGACAGAGGCCAGGAGAUAGAGAUUAAAUGACAGAAAGAUGGGAGGACAAAGACAGUAAGAAAAAAAGACGAGAGAGAGAGAGAGACAGAGAGGCAUAGACUGAGAGAGACAAAGGGAUCUGAAGACCCACCUUGGUUCCCCACACGUCCCCCUACCCCCAGGCCAGGCUGCCCCUCUGCCCAGAUCUGGGAGCCAGUCCUGCCAACAUCAGGUAAAUCACCACUUUUUUCUUAGCCUGCUGGAAGGGAAUCUGCCCCACUCGGCACAAGCCCUAGGUGAGUGACCAGACAGUGCUUGACAUUGAAGGGAGCUAGGGCUGCUGCUUUGUGUCUGUUCUGGCAAUUUAUUUUUAUCCUUUUUGGGGGAGGGGGUGUUCAGUGCUAUUUUUCCCCUAGAGGGAUUAAGCAUGUGAGUCAGUAUAAUAAAACUUGCUAAGUAUG
Molecule: long non-coding RNA, 2933 nt
Organism: Hipposideros armiger (great roundleaf bat)
Lineage: Eukaryota; Metazoa; Chordata; Mammalia; Chiroptera; Hipposideridae
Exons: 3
Source: RefSeq, a predicted model, not a curated record